CCUACGGGAGGCAGCAGUGGGGAAUAUUGGGCAAUGGAGGAAACUCUGACCCAGCGACGCCGCGUGCGGGAUGAAGGCCUUCGGGUUGUAAACCGCUUUCAGCAGGGAAGAAGCGAAAGUGACGGUACCUGCAGAAGAAGCACCGGCUAACUAUGUGCCAGCAGCCGCGGUAAUACAUAGGGUGCAAGCGUUGUCCGGAAUUAUUGGGCGUAAAGAGCUCGUAGGUGGUUCGUCACGUCGGAUGUGAAAAUCUGGGGCUUAACCCCAGACCUGCAUUCGAUACGGGCGAGCUUGAGUAUGGUAGGGGAGUCUGGAAUUCCUGGUGUAGCGGUGGAAUGCGCAGAUAUCAGGAGGAACACCAAUGGCGAAGGCAGGACUCUGGGCCAUUACUGACACUGAGGAGCGAAAGCGUGGGGAGCGAACAGGAUUAGAUACCCUGGUAGUCCACGCCGUAAACGGUGGGCACUAGUUGUGGGGACCUUCCACGGUCUCUGCGACGCNGCUACGCAUAAGUGCCCGCCGUCGGGAGGUACGAGUCGCGAAGAAUUAAACUUAACAAACUAGAAGUUAGACGGCGUGAGACGUGCCGACGGACGACCGACCGAGGGAGGUUAGG
This 616-nucleotide ribosomal RNA is filed under the name uncultured bacterium. Its description in RNAcentral is "bacterial SSU rRNA". The stretch from base 1 to 521 matches the Rfam family "Bacterial small subunit ribosomal RNA", at positions 338 to 873 of the family's 1533-position model. The record is from RNAcentral.